AUACGGAGGGGGCUAGCAUUGUUCGGAAUUACUGGGCGUAAAGCGCGCGUAGGCGGCUUGCCAAGUUGGGGGUGAAAUCCCAGGGCUCAACCCUGGAACUGCCCUCAAAACUGGUUCGCUAGAGUCCGGGAGAGGUGAGUGGAAUUCCCAGUGUAGAGGUGAAAUUCGUAGAUAUUGGGAAGAACACCAGUGGCGAAGGCGGCUCACUGGACCGGUACUGACGCUGAGGCGCGAAAGCGUGGGGAGCAAACAGGAUUAGAAACCCCAGUAGUCC
RNAcentral lists this ribosomal RNA (274 nucleotides) under uncultured bacterium. Its description in RNAcentral is "partial 16S ribosomal RNA". It matches the Rfam family "Bacterial small subunit ribosomal RNA", at positions 523 to 796 of the family's 1533-position model. The record is from RNAcentral.